This 252-nucleotide ribosomal RNA is filed under the name uncultured bacterium. RNAcentral describes it as "partial 16S ribosomal RNA". It matches the Rfam family "Bacterial small subunit ribosomal RNA", at positions 524 to 776 of the family's 1533-position model. The record is from RNAcentral.
UACGUAGGCAGCAAGCGUUGUUCGGAGUUACUGGGCGUAAAGGGUGCGUAGGCGGUUGUUUAAGUUUGGUGUGAAAUCUCCCGGCUCAACUGGGAGGUGCGCCGAAUACUGAAUGACUAAGAGUGCGGGAGAGGAGAGUGGAAUUCCUGGUGUAGCGGUGAAAUGCGUAGAUAUCAGGAGAACACCGGUGGUGUAGACGGCUCUCUGGACCGUAACUGACGCUGAGGCACGAAAGCGUGGGUAGCAAACAGG